ACUUGUACAACCCCAGCAAGCUACUCAAAUAUAUAAUAAAUGGGCUGAGAGUAUAACAGCAAAUGUGAGGAUUUAGAGAGAAAAUAUCCCCCAAGUCCUACUCGGCAUCAGCAGGAUUAGCACCCAACUUGGUCCAGAAGAUUACAGGAAACAAAAUUCUUUUUUUUUCUUAUUUUGGUAGGGAGCAGCUGACAUUUUCUGAAGGAUCAAGCUAGGUGACUCUGUCACAUUGUAAUUUUCCACAUUUUUUUUAUGUUUAGUGAGAGCUGCUGCUGGUUUUGCCCCUCUGCUGGGCAAACCCCCUGUGACAGAGCAGGAAUGUCCCUUUCCAAAGUGGAAAAAGGGACAAAGCACUGACUGCUCAGCCUGGUGUGGGGAGCAAUAAAAGCACUCACUUGCCCUGGCUGGUAUUAUUAGAAUUAACAUAUUUUUAUUAUAACAACUUCAACCUUUUUUGUUCUCCAGAGCAAAUGAAAACAAGAUGCUUCUACUGAAAGAUAAAUAGACAAAAUUAGUAGAGGAUCUGAAUCCCUCUCCUGCAUCAGCAGAGUGGUUCCAGAGGCUAAAGGAGGAUCUGCUGUCUGUGGGUGGCCAGAGCUGGUCAGACUGCAAAAAGAAACGAGCCUGAUUUCUUUUUCCUGCUGCUGUGAGACCAGACCUCCAUGGCUCAGGUAAUAUGGGAUGUCUGAUUUAUUACCUACAGCUCACCCUACAAACAUCAGCGUGUGGAGGGAGCCAAACAUAGGCC
Molecule: long non-coding RNA, 748 nt
Organism: Prinia subflava (tawny-flanked prinia)
Lineage: Eukaryota; Metazoa; Chordata; Aves; Passeriformes; Cisticolidae
Exons: 3
Source: RefSeq, a predicted model, not a curated record